UUGUUUACCAAAUUCAACCAUAAAACGUUAUCUUGGAUACGACGUACAUUAUUAUGUUCAGCGCGCUAUUAACCCCCCUCUUAUUUCACUGACACAAGUGUAUGCAUAUUCUUGAUGCACACGAUAAACAGGAUGUGGACAUCUUCACCAAAGCUUCGCAAGGAUAUAAAUUAGUUAAACGUUCUGCACGUGUGUGGAUUGUGGGGUUUUUUUGUUGUUAUUUUUUCGUCUUCCUUUCUUUCCAAUGAAAUAUGAACGCUGCGGCGAAGCUUGUGAAAAAGGCUCUAACGGAUCACCGGAUUUCCCUCAAUGUCGGGGGUGUGGUCUUCGAGACGAUGUCGAGCACCCUCCAGAAGUUCCCUGGGACCCGCCUGGCCACCCUGGCGGUGAUGCACGAGAAGGACGAGAAUUGGGACGGCGAGAGGAAACAGUUCUUCUUCGACAGACACCCCGGCGUGUUCUCCUUCAUCAUCCACUACUACAGGACGGAGGAGCUGCACAUAGAACAUAACAUAUGCGGCAAUAUUAUUAAGGGGGAACUCGAGUUCUGGGGUCUGACCGAGCUGGACAUUGAGCCGUGCUGCUGGGGCCAGUACAACAGAUACAAGGAGAACAAGGACACUCUGGCCGCCCUCGACGACAACUUCACCGUCAGCGUGGACAACGAGGCCUGGGGCGAGAAACCGUCCAGCUUCAACAAGUUCAAGAUGAAGGUGUGGUUGUUCUUAGAGGACCCGAACUCGUCCAGGGCAGCAAAGAUCUAUGCAGUGAUUUCCAUGUUCUUCGUUUUGCUGUCUAUCGCGACAUUCUGCCUGGAAACACACCCCUGGUUCCGCGUCUUGCGGCCCGGAGCCAUACUACCCAAUACUACAGCUCUAGAAAAUGCCAGGACAGUUGGCGACAACACCUGCUACUGUCAGUGCAGAGUCAACAAUGACCUGCCGUACCACCUGAGCGACCCUCACGACGCCAUGCGCUACCUGGACUACCUGUGCGCGGCGUUCUUCACCAUGGAGUAUAUGGUCCGCCUGUACUUCGCGCCCAAGAAGCUGGUCUUCUUCCGGAGCCUCAUGAACAUCAUCGACAUCCUGUGCCUGCUGCCGCACUUCAUCGCCAUCAUCAUGAAGACCGUCAACCCCGACGACAGCACGAGCCAGAUAUUCAAGUCGGUGGUGGCGCUGAGGAUCGUGCGGAUCCUCAGGAUCUUUAAGCUGAUGAAGCACUACGCGGCAUUCAAGAUCCUCGUCUACACCAUCAAGGUCAGCACCAAGGAGCUGCUCCUCCUCGUCAUCUUCCUCUUCACCGGCGUCCUCAUCUUCGCCAGCCUCAUCUUCUACGCAGAGAGCACGACUUUCCCAAACAUCCCCGUCGGCUUCUGGUGGGCGCUGGUCACCAUGACGACCGUGGGUUACGGGGACAAGGUGCCGAGGACUGAGGGCGGGUACCUGAUCGGGUCCUUGUGUGUGCUGUGUGGAGUCCUCACUGUUGCCUUCACAGUUCCGAUCGUGGUGAAUAAUUUUACGCUGUACUAUUCGCACGCCCAGUCCAGAGUCCGGCUUCCCGAGAAGACGAGGAAAGAGCUUCAGAAGAGGAUUAUAAAGAAGAAUCAGAAAGCUUCGGAGUUUAUUCAGAAAUUGACUAUGAACGUGCAUCACAAACAGACUAAAGAGCCCUUUAAUGGGGUCCCGGGAUUAAAGACUCCUCGGGAUCCCGCGGAAGAUAAACCGCCACCUAAAUCGAUGGCUGGUGCUUCGUACAAGCAAGCAGCUAGUGUUAGCAAAAAUUCAAAAUGGAGUGGGCUUGCGCACGGAUCAAGGGUUAUUACAAUAUCGGAACAUGUUCCUGAACUCUCCCCAAAUGCGUCCCCUAAGGAUCUACCGGGAACACCUAUAAGCAUAGAGCUGGAACCAAAAUCGCUGCAGCACAUGGAGACCGAACAGCUGCUGCACGAUCUACACGGGGCGAACGAAAAGCUUAAGGAGGAGAGGAAGCGUCAGCUGGACCUGAUCAAGAUCAGACGAGAGGAGAAGAGGCAGGCGAAACUCUCUCCCAGACCCUCACCCGCUCCCGCAGCCUCGGCCAGACCCAACAAAGACAAUGAAUAGAUUAACAAGAAAACAGCACAAGUUUCUUCAUACACAGAGUAAAGGAACAUAAUUCCGCUGCUUUAAAAACGAAAGAUGGACAGCAAGAUUAAUUAUGCUAGAACUUCAAAUGCUGGGUCGUCCCUAAACAAAAACAACUAGGAUGGUUUUCUUCAUCUACACAAAACGAACAUUUUUUAUUAUUUACAAGAUACAUUUUUUCAUAUUCUGAACUCAGUUGGGUACAGCCCUAGGACAUUUCAUCAUAUUAUGUAACUUUAUCAUAUUUGUUUUUUUAAUUAUUUUUUAUUAUUAUUAUUAUUAUUACUAUUAUUAUUAUUAUAGAAUUGUUGUUGAAGUUGUAACGAUGCUAUUGUUACAAAUCAACGAAAAACAAAAUGCAACGCAAAAUGUUAACAGUUCCAUGGCAAGGAUACUUUUUAUUAUACUGUUUCAUACUGUUUAAGAUAUACUGAUAUUAUUCUAUAACCCGUUUAUCUGUGAUAUUAUUACGAGUGAUGAUUAUUUAGGACACGUGUACAUAAUACCCCCCAAAAAUAUAUUAAUGACGGUGUUGGAACAAUAAAAAUUAACUUAACCAUAAUAUUAUGUUAAUAUUAUAAAAAAAUAUAUUUAAAAAUCGGUUUUGCUCUAGAUAGCGCACUUUGUGAAACAUGCGUACAUAACUUACAGAAGCACGUCAUUAUUAUUUUAUUUAUAUUGCAACAAAACAGAAUACUUUGAUGAGCAUUAACAAUUUAAAGUUUUAAUAUCAAUGAUAAUCUUUAGUACAAGUCUAAACAUUUUGACAUCAGUUUUAUAAAACAAACUCCCAUUCUUCCAUUCGUGUCAAUAGGGCAUCCUCUGCAACAAACCUAUAUCAAAUCAUUUGAAGUAACUAGGAAAAUAGUUGCUUGGUUUUGUUCUUUUAUUAUUUUUAUUUUUAAAUAAAAUGUAUAAUACAAAAUUUCUAUUCUUCGAGCAUGAUUAAGAUUCCACAUCACCAUUAAUUACUCCAUGCAGGUCCCUUCAACUUCUAAGGUUACACAUAACCAUUAAUUACUCCAUGUAGUUCAAUACAAUUUCUAAGGUGUGUAAUUAUUCCAUACAGUUCAAUAAAAUGUCUAAGGUUACACACCACCAUUAAUUACUCCAUGUAGUUCAAUACAAUUUCUAAGGUUACACACCACCAUUAAUUACUCCAAGCAGUUCAAUACAAUUUCUAAGGUUACACACCAUCAUUAAUUACUCCAUGCAUUUCAAUACAAGUUCUAAGGUUAAACACCACCAUUAAUUACUCCAUGUAGUUCAAUACAAGUUCUAAGGUUAAACACCACCAUUAAUUACUCCAUGCAGUUCAAUACAAUUUCUAAGGUUACACACCAUCAUUAAUUACUCCAUGCAGUUCAAUACAAGUUCUAAGGUUAAACACCACCAUUAAUUACUCCAUGCAGUUCAAUACAAGUUCUAAGGUUACACACCACUAUUAAUUACUCCAUGCAGUUCAAUACAAUUUCUAUCAGAAUAUAUUCUGUGAAAAAUGCAACACUAUCGGGAGGAUCACGUGACUACUAAUUUUAGGGAAUGCUCUCAACUGAGAAGCACCGUGUCGACCAAUAUGGUUUUCAAUUAGCCACCCUCAUGUCUGAGCACCGCCUCGUGUUGAUGUUACACAGGUGGCACUAUACCACUUGCACAGUUGUUAUACGUUAGUACGUCAUAUAUAACAAGUUACUUCAAACCAAUGGGUUAUUUAAAGACUAUACAGAGGU
This 3856-nucleotide unclassified non-coding RNA is filed under the name Gigantopelta aegis. Its description in RNAcentral is "potassium voltage-gated channel protein Shaw-like, transcript variant X1". The record is from RNAcentral. Lineage: Eukaryota; Metazoa; Mollusca; Gastropoda; Neomphalida; Peltospiridae.